UGCUCAAUGAUUUAAUUAAUUAAAUGGCCGCAGUAUUUUGACUGUGCGAAGGUAGCAUAAUCAUUUGUCUUUUAAUUGUAGGCUUGUAUGAAUGGUUUGAUGAAAAUCUUGCUUUCUUUAUAUUAUUAUUUAGAAUUUAAUUUUUCAGUUAAAAAGCUGGGAUAUUUAAAUGGGACGAGAAGACCCUAUSGAAUUUUAUUAUUAAUUAUUAAUUUUUGUUUUGUAAUUUAGUUAUAUAUUUUAGUAGUUAAUAAUUUUGUUGGGGUGACAGAGGGAUUUAUUAAACUCCCUUAUYAAUUAUUUAUUUCGUAAAURSUAAUAUAAUUGAUCCUAUAUUAURGAAUSAUAGAUCAAAUUACC
This 360-nucleotide ribosomal RNA is filed under the name Brachystethus geniculatus. RNAcentral describes it as "partial large subunit ribosomal RNA". Lineage: Eukaryota; Metazoa; Arthropoda; Insecta; Hemiptera; Pentatomidae. The record is from RNAcentral.